AUACGGAGGAUCCGAGCGUUAUCCGGAUUUAUUGGGCUUAAAGGGAGCGUAGGCGGACGCUUAAGUCAGUUGUGAAAGUUUGCGGCUCAACCGUAAAAUUGCAGUUGAUACUGGGUGUCUUGAGUACAGUAGAGGCAGGCGGACAUUGUGGGGUAGAGGGGAAAUGCUUAGAUAUCACGAAGAAAUCCGAUUGCGAAGGCAGCCUGCUGGACUGUAACUGACGCUGAUGCUCGAAAGUGUGGGUAUCAAACAGGAUUAGAUACCCUGGUAGUCCACACAGUAAACGAUGAAUACUCGCUGUUUGCGAUAUACAGUAAGCGGCCAAGCGAAAGCGUUAAGUAUUCCACCUGGGGAGUACGCCGGCAACGGUGAAACUCAAAGGAAUUGACGGGG
Molecule: ribosomal RNA, 393 nt
Filed under: uncultured bacterium
Lineage: Bacteria
Description: partial 16S ribosomal RNA
Rfam family: Bacterial small subunit ribosomal RNA
Source: RNAcentral